UGAGGUCAUUUGUUAGAAGAGCCCACUAAUCCCAUCAUGAGGCAAAAUGGCCUCACCUACUAUCAUUACUUUUGGAGGUUAACAUUUUAACACGAAUUUUGGAAGAACACAAACAUUCAGACCACAGCACUGCUUUAAAGAAAAUUCCUCUGCAUGUCUUCUGAAGAAUUGGCUGUAGAGUAGGCAAGAGAAGUUGCAAGCAAUCCAAUCAUAACAUAGUACAGUCUUUGGAAUAGACAUGGUGGCCUGAGAAAGGUAUGGUUUGCAGCUAAGUGGAGAUAACAUGGAUGUAUGUUUUGGAGGUAAAAGUCAGUCAGGCUGAUUCCUAUCAGAGACAUCAGAGGCAAACUACUUUGAACAACAAGGAGGCUUUUAAGAAUUUUAAGGUAAUGCUAAAGACAUAUCAUAGGUCAUUGUAUUUAAUCACUGAAAAUUGUAAAGGUCAUUCCAGUCUGUAAACAUCAUUAUGAUGCAUUUU
This 478-nucleotide long non-coding RNA is filed under the name Ovis aries (sheep). Its description in RNAcentral is "lncRNA (ENSOARG00000026489.1)". Lineage: Eukaryota; Metazoa; Chordata; Mammalia; Artiodactyla; Bovidae. The record is from RNAcentral.